CUGGCUUUUAUGUUAAUAAUCAGACAUACCUUUUUGUAUGCGCAGUUGCUUUUUUGUUGAGCUUGUUGAAAAAGGGGUGAAUCUCCAAAAAAAGGGGAGGGGUAUCUUUGCCCCUGUUACCUAAGGGGAUUUUACCCCACCCUGCCCAAUUUUCACCUACCUCUGUUUACUUGCAGUCCUCUCCGUAUGUCACAACAUUUACAUGUCUUUCCUUUUGCUUCAAUUUGUAUGUGUUAGAUGAGGAAAAAAAAAACCUAAUAGAAGUGCAGUCCCCCUGCAACCACUAAAACCCCUCCGCUGGCCAGCCAAUGGCCAUUCACGGCAGAACAAACAAAAAUCAAAUGGGAGCUAUGCUUUUAGCUUUUAAUUCUAGCUCCAAAAGUUUCCAGCUGCUUCCAUAAUUAUUACCUUUUAAAGAGUAGGAAAAUGGCGAGUUAAUUCACAUGGUGGCUUUCUCUAUCUUUUUGUCUCUUUCUCCCUUACUCCCUGCCUCAUUCUCUCCUUCCUCCACUCUCCACCCCAAACCACAACAGAACAACUUCCUCUCAAUCAGUAUGACUUCCGAAAUGCAGUGGGAAUGUCUGAGUGCAGAAUCAACCAAUCAGAAAUUUGCAAAAAGGCAGCAGAAGGUGUCAUCUUCAUUGGACCUGACACACAUGCUACUCAAACCAUGGGAGACAAGAUCAGAGGCAAAUUAAUCGCCAAGAUGCCAAGAAGACAGCAAUACAGGAUGAAGUUUAUUUACAUCGCUGUCAACUGUUCCCUGCAUAGCAACAAAGCCAAUGAUUUCCACAUAAGAGCAGUAGGGAGACUCGGGUAGACAGCCCCUCCAGAGCCCGCUGAAGUGAAGCAUUAGUUGGUGAAACAGUAAGGAUGGUCCUGAUGAUACCCGUUUAGCAGUGGCUGACAUGAGUAGAGGUCUAUCAAGGAGGUCUGUUAAGCUAAUGGCGAGACAGAAACCCAUAUGGGAGGCCUUUUCCUAUGGAUACAGCUGCUGCGUUCCAGCUCUGUAGCUCUACGUUUGUGGGUUCAAUUAACUCAUACUGAUGCUUGCUUAAUUCAAUCUCCUGUUAGAAAUGUUUCAGUGUGCCAACAUAAUAACUGUAAUCACCUUGUCAUCAAGUCCCAUUGAACUCAAUCAUCCGCCUCUGAAAUGCAUUAUUCCCGUGUUUGACAGCCUACAGAGUCUUCAUGUUACUUUGUGUUCAUCUGAUCAUGAUUGAGAGAUUUAAAUGAACUUUUUUUUUAGACCUCUUUGCUGAGGUAGCACGUAUCCCAUGUUAUUUUACAAAUGGUCAGUUGUCAUAAUCUUAAUUUUACUGGCUCAAAGUUUCAAAUUAAGUUGCUCUCUGCUGGUAGGCUUUGCUUUCAGAUGCAUUAAAUUUAUAUGAAUCAACUGUAAAGACAUUUAUAAUGUUGAAAAAUAUUUCUUUAUCAAAUAAAUGCUGUUCUUUUGAACUUUCUAUUCAUCAAAAAUCUUGAAAAAAGGCAUCAUGGUUUCCACAAAAAUAUUAAACAGCACAACUGUUUUCAAAAAUUGAUAAUAAUAAGGAAUGUUUCUUGAGCAGCAUAUUAGAAUGGUUUCUGAAGGAUCAUGUGACACUGAAGACUGGAGUAAUAGCUAAUGGAAAUUCAGCUUUGCUAUCAUAGGAAUAGAUGACAUUUCAAAAUAUAUUAAAAUAGAAAGUUUGUUUGAUGUUUGUUUAUUUAAAAAACAUUAAAAAAAAAUAAUGGGACUCCAAAGUUUUGAACUUCACACAUAUUAAUCAAACUUCACUUGUUCUUGGCUUUGUGUGCUUUGCUUUUAAAAAAAAUGGAGGUGAUGCCUGAUGUGUAUUUAAUUCUUCAAAUAUUCAAUUACACGUUGUGUCAUGUAUAAUAACGGAGCAAGUUAACCUACUGACUGAUGGACACAAUGCUGGAUCUUCUCCUAAUCACUCUUUCGUUCUCUUUAACAGAACCAUGAUGGUACGAUGGCUCUGACAUUCUGUUCAUACCCCCAUCCAUUGAUUGUCUGCACCAUAAGCCCCAAGAGGGAGCUUAUUUGGGCCUGGCUGCAGCAUGCGGGUGUGUUAGGGAGCACAGGGUGGUCCCAUGGACCAGAGAGGGCAGCUAACUGGAGUAAACAGGACUCAGCAGGCUUAGUGUUUGUGUUUACUCUGCUGGAGAGGAGGCCAUUAGAGCAAACAGCCAGCGUUUCUUCACAUGUUGCUGAAAAUCACCCCAACCUUCAUUCACUCCUGUUUGGCACUACUAACACCCAGCCAGUGUGCCCAGAUGGCCCUGCUUUCCAGAUCUCUCACUGUUUCUGCCCUCUCUCCCCUCCCUCAAUGUGCCGUGGCGUCAUUAAAAGUGUCUGUGAGCGGGAGGUGUAAAAAAGGGUGCCGAGAGAGGAAGCAGAAAACAAUUUAGUGGCAUUUAAAAAUAAAGUCCUCCCCCUAUUUACAUGGCCUAUCUAAUCCAAUCUAGGCUGUGUCUGCAUUUUUAAUUUGCACAUUCAAGCAAGCUUCAGAGAGGAACCUAGGCUUAAUUAGUUUAGUUAUCUCCCCUCAUGAAUGGAUAAAGUUCCCACACUGCUGGUGUUUCAGAUGAAGCCUAAUUGGAUUUCGAGGCCAAAAACAAAAGGAGUAAUAAAAGAAAUGAGGGUUAGAUAACAGAGGAAGAUUGAAUUGAUAAAGUGAAAGGGGAAUGAACUGUAGUCACAGCUGAGGAGAGAGACAAGAUGCGGUCGAGAUCCUCGUUUGAGGUCAAAAUCAGUGUAUUAGGGCCAAUGACAUAUGAAGAAAAAUCUUUUUAAAGAAUGAAAAAAAAAUGAAUUGGAAACUCUUAGAAAUGUACUCUUUUCUUAUUAGUUUCAUGUGGUAUAACCAAGUACAAACACUGUGAAGAUGUGCAAAAUAUCUUCUCAAAUAUAUAUGAGUAAUCUUAAUCAUUAUUUCCAAACAAAGUUAGUAUAUAAUAUUAUGUUUAAUAAGUUCAAUAUGUUAUAUUUAACAUAUAAAGUAUUUUUGAAUUUAAAAUUCAUAAAUAUUUAAAUUUUUGGAUAAUCUCCCUGCAUGAUAUUGUACACUUGAUCUCACACUACCUUUCUAAUAUUUAAUCAUAAAUUACUUGUAUAAAUAUUUUAGUUUUUCUUAUUUUUCUGAAUUUUUGUCUUUUAAUUGGCCUUUAUCUUCAUUAUAUCAGGACAGUUGUAUGUGAUGUUUUCUAUGUUUUAUAUAUUACUGAAACAUUUUGCAUUUUAAAUGACACAAAAUUUACAACACCCCCUCAAGACCCCUCCAGGGGUUUCAGUGCAAUUUGCCAGAAAUGGCGCAUUUGAAUAUAAAAUCCAGGCCUCAAGAAAAGUAAGCCCACAUUCGGUUUUAAAUCUCAACCAGUCUUUGCCAGUAUACCGUAAUAAUACAGUUUCGUUCAGCUAGAGCAAAAGUGUCAGCAUGUUUAAAAAUCAUCAUUCUUAAAGAGACAACUGAGCCUGAGUAAAUCAAUUAUUGAACAUUACCCUUCAUUGUGAUAUCUGAUUCGAACAAGGUCAAGGGAAUUAUUAAUAACCUUCUGUUCUCUUUCACAGACACGUUUACAAAUUAGCACUUCUCACAGGCCUGGGACCUGCUUUAUGAAGCCGAGUUUUCGGAGCAGCCUGGAAGUGUGAAAGAGUUCCAGAGGGCAGAGCAUUUGGAGAAGUCUAGAUAAUGAGAGUCUUUUGUUAAUGCCAUUGAUCUCGAUUCAAUUAGUGAAAAGGGCCCAUGUUUGUGACUACUGUGUGCACAGCAUAUGUGUGUUUCUGUAUGUAAUUGACUUUGUAAGUCCUCAAAGAGUAAACUUGUAGCAGUUUCAAACAUUCAAUGUUAUUGUCAAGCACAAAUGAACAGCCAAGUAUGUGUGUCUUUUUUCUGUUUCUGAUUUUUUUUUUUUUUCUUUUUUUUCUUUAGCCAACUGAGCUGGUUUGGGGCUGAUCUUGUGUGAUGUAUAGAUUAAUUAAAUAAGCAUAUUGAUUCCUGUUCUGGCAACACAGAGUGUGGGGUUUUAAUUAGCCCACGCUUGAGUGUGUUAAAAUUCCUGUCUUAUCUGUGUGGAACCAAGUGGAACUAAAAACUGAAUGCAUGAGGGCUGCUCAUCAACUCAAAAUCUCCAAUAACCUUUUUUUCCCCCUUGUUUGUUUUAGUCCAACCCAAACCUCAAACUUUAUUGUAAGUGUAUGAUUUAUAUGCCAACAUUUUCAUUCCCAAUAUUAAUUUUUUUAUCUCCAAGGAAUACAAAAUAGUUAAGUAAAUAAUACAUAUAUAAAACAAACAAUUAUGUAUGUAUGUGUGUGUAUAUAUAUAUACAAAUAUACAAAGACUGUUUUGAGUGAUUAAUCACUCUGAUGUGGUCUUAAUUUUUAAGUUAUUUCUUUCAAAAAAUCUUAUUUGAAACUAAAAAAUAUACUAAAUAUUUUUCUGAUACAGGUUUUAAAAUAUCAAAGUUUUACUUAUAUUUCCUUGUAGUAUUUUUGGAUAUAUAAAUACAGUGAUCCAUAUGACCAUAAUACGGUGGCCAAGAAAUGCAAAACAGAUUACAAUUCUGAAAACAAAAUAACAAAUUACAAAUGCAAACCUAAAAAACAAAAUAACAAUUCAGAAAACACAACAACAAUUCAGAAAAUAUUAUAACAAGUCAGAAAACACAAUGA
Molecule: long non-coding RNA, 4672 nt
Organism: Cyprinus carpio carpio
Lineage: Eukaryota; Metazoa; Chordata; Actinopteri; Cypriniformes; Cyprinidae
Source: Ensembl